This is a long non-coding RNA of Gekko japonicus, 271 nucleotides long. RefSeq lists it as uncharacterized. The record is from RefSeq and is a predicted model, not a curated record. The transcript has 3 exons. Lineage: Eukaryota; Metazoa; Chordata; Lepidosauria; Squamata; Gekkonidae.
UUAAACAGUGAGACCUUCUUGCUGCAGAGAGAUCAGCGCUGAGAGUUUCACUGAUUCGCAAGAGCCAGGAACAGGCGAUACCUCCCUCACCGUGUAUUCCGACAGGACGGGGUCCUUAUCAGCUCAACGCAGAGCAUGAGGAGGAAGCAGCAGCAGCAGCAGACAGAGGUGAUGACAAAGACAGAACGACAGGCAUAGAUCCCCCGCUUUGCACUCUCAACAGGAAAUUUACCUCCUCUAAACUGUAGUUUGAUUGACCAGGAAGACAUGC